Molecule: ribosomal RNA, 485 nt
Filed under: uncultured Kaistia sp.
Lineage: Bacteria; Pseudomonadati; Pseudomonadota; Alphaproteobacteria; Hyphomicrobiales; Kaistiaceae
Description: bacterial SSU rRNA
Rfam family: Bacterial small subunit ribosomal RNA
Source: RNAcentral
CUACUCCUCGUGUGCGUCGUCGACGUACGUCAGAGAGUUGUAUCGUGGCUCAGAACGACGCUGGCGGCAGGCCUAACACAUGCAAGUCGAACGCCCUGGCAACAGGGAGUGGCAGACGGGUGAGUAACGCGUGGGAAUCUACCUUGUGGUACGGAACAACCAAGGGAAACUUUGGCUAAUACCGUAUGAGCCCUUCGGGGGAAAGAUUUAUCGCCAUAAGAUGAGCCCGCGUAGGAUUAGCUAGUUGGUGAGGUAAUGGCUCACCAAGGCGACGAUCCUUAGCUGGUCUGAGAGGAUGACCAGCCACACUGGGACUGAGACACGGCCCAGACUCCUACGGGAGGCAGCAGUGGGGAAUAUUGGACAAUGGGCGCAAGCCUGAUCCAGCCAUGCCGCGUGUGUGAUGAAGGCCUUAGGGUUGUAAAGCACUUUCGCCGAUGAAGAUAAUGACUGUAGUCGGAGAAGAAGCCCCGGCUAACUUCGUG